GUAAAGAGGCCCUGCGUUGGUGCCCCGCCGCAGCGGGGUGAAACGGGAACACGGUGCAAGACCGUGGCUGCCCCCGCAACUGUGAGCGGCGAGCGGCGAUUCGACGAAGCCACUGGGGCCAUCGGGCACCGGGAAGGCCGAAUCGCAGCAGGGACCCGCAAGCCAGGAGACCGGCCAGCGCGCGAGGCAACCC
RNAcentral lists this non-coding RNA (193 nucleotides) under Chelatococcus sp. The record is from RNAcentral. Lineage: Bacteria; Pseudomonadati; Pseudomonadota; Alphaproteobacteria; Hyphomicrobiales; Chelatococcaceae.